UACGGGGGGGGCAAGCGUUGUUCGGAAUUACUGGGCGUAAAGGGCUCGUAGGCGGCCUCCUAAGUCAGACGUGAAAGCCCUCGGCUCAACCGGGGAACGGCGUCUGAGACUGGAAGGCUUGAAUCCGGGAGAGGGAUGCGGAAUUCCAGGUGUAGCGGUGAAAUGCGUAGAUAUCUGGAGGAACACCGGUGGCGAAGGCGGCAUCCUGGACCGGCAUUGACGCUGAGGCGCGAAAGCCAGGGGAGCAAACGGG
This 253-nucleotide ribosomal RNA is filed under the name uncultured bacterium. Its description in RNAcentral is "partial 16S ribosomal RNA". It matches the Rfam family "Bacterial small subunit ribosomal RNA", at positions 524 to 776 of the family's 1533-position model. The record is from RNAcentral.